CCUACGUGAGGCAGCAGUGAGGAAUAUUGGUCAAUGGGCGCGAGCCUGAACCAGCCAAGUAGCGUGAAGGAUGACUGCCCUACGGGUUGUAAACUUCUUUUAUAAAGGAAUAAAGUGAGGCACGUGUGCCCUUUUGUAUGUACUUUAUGAAUAAGGAUCGGCUAACUCCGUGCCAGCAGCAGCGGUAAUACGGAGGAUGCGAGCGUUAUCCGGAUUUAUUGGGUUGAAAGGGUGCGUAGGCGGUCCGUUAAGUCAGCGGUAAAAUUUCGGGGCUCAACCCCGGCGAGCCGUUGAAACUGGCAGACUGGAGUUGGCGAGAAGUACGCGGAAUGCGCGGUGUAGCGGUGAAAUGCAUAGAUAUCGCGCAGAACUCCGAUUGCGAAGGCAGCGUACCGGCGCCAGACUGACGCUGAGGCACGAAAGCGUGGGGAUCGAACAGGAUUAGAUACCCUAGUAGUC
This 459-nucleotide ribosomal RNA is filed under the name uncultured bacterium. RNAcentral's name for it is "partial 16S ribosomal RNA". It matches the Rfam family "Bacterial small subunit ribosomal RNA", at positions 338 to 795 of the family's 1533-position model. The record is from RNAcentral.